RNAcentral lists this ribosomal RNA (497 nucleotides) under uncultured bacterium. Its description in RNAcentral is "bacterial SSU rRNA". It matches the Rfam family "Bacterial small subunit ribosomal RNA", at positions 28 to 521 of the family's 1533-position model. The record is from RNAcentral.
GAUGAACGCUAGCGGCAGGCUUAAUACAUGCAAGUCGAGGGGCAGCACGGUUAGCAAUAACUGGUGGCGACCGGCGCACGGGUGCGUAACACGUAUACAAUCUACCUUAAACAGGGGAUAGCCUUUCGAAAGAGAGAUUAAUACCCCGUAAUAAAUUGAACGGCAUCGUUUGAUUUUGAAAGCUCCGGCGGUUUGAGAUGAGUAUGCGUCUGAUUAGCUAGUUGGUGAGGUAACGGCUCACCAAGGCGACGAUCAGUAGGGGAUCUGAGAGGACUAACCCCCACACUGGUACUGAGACACGGACCAGACUCCUACGGGAGGCAGCAGUAAGGAAUAUUGGUCAAUGGAGGCAACUCUGAACCAGCCAUGCCGCGUGCAGGAUGACGGCCCUAUGGGUUGUAAACUGCUUUUAUACAAGAGAAAACCCUGGUACGUGUACCAGGUUGAUAGUAUUGUAAGAAUAAGCAAUCGGCUAACUUCGUGCCAGCAGCCGCGGU